UGCCCAUUUUUGUGGAUCUGAGGUGUAUGUCACAUUUUAGCUGCCAAAGCUCCGCUGCUUACUUCCACCCUCUCUGUCGCUGGUCCUGCACUGUGUCACUCAGUCCGCCUACAGUUACAUU
Etheostoma cragini (Arkansas darter) is the source of this 121-nucleotide long non-coding RNA. RefSeq lists it as uncharacterized. The transcript has 3 exons. The record is from RefSeq and is a predicted model, not a curated record. Lineage: Eukaryota; Metazoa; Chordata; Actinopteri; Perciformes; Percidae.